UUGCCCCGAAAAUUGACUCCCGCACACAUUGUUUCCCAGCAAUGCACUUUCCCUUCGCCCCACAAAGAUUUACACCUACUGAAACCUCUCUCGGUAGGCAAUCUCGAGGAAAAAAAUUGGACUUAUUCGGGAGACUAUUUUUGUGGAGUGACACCAUACAUUCAGCGCAUUUCUUCUUCAAUGUCUUCUAGUGUUGCUGGACUUGGUGAAGAGAUCGCAAAGAUCAAAGCUCACCCACAAAUAAACAGGGAAAAAAAAAUGAAGUAGCAAUUCUUGGCAAGGGAAGCGGCGCAAUAGAACUUCCUUAGAUGCGUCAAUAUUUCUACUGUUGCAACUAGGACAGCCCAGCCCAUCCAGAGGAAAAAAAAAAAUACAUCUGAUCCUUACCAGGGGCAGGAAGUGAAUAGCCAGUGAAACACACUGUGAUAAUCAGAUUACUUUUCUUCCUUAGAAUCUGAUUUUGCAAACACUGGUUCAGGCUGGGUUUGUCAAUAUGCUGGAGCAAUGUACUUGG
Molecule: unclassified non-coding RNA, 514 nt
Filed under: Hevea brasiliensis (rubber tree)
Lineage: Eukaryota; Viridiplantae; Streptophyta; Magnoliopsida; Malpighiales; Euphorbiaceae
Source: RNAcentral